GACGAACGCUGGCGGCGUGCCUAAUACAUGCAAGUGGAACGCAUUUUGAUUACCGUAGCUUGCUACACCGAUUAAAAUGAGUCGCGAACGGGUGAGUAACGCGUAGGUAACCUACCUCAUAGCGGGGGACAACUAUUGGAAACGAUAGCUAAUACCGCAUAAGACAUUUUAUCGCAUGAUAGGAUGUUAAAAGAUGCAACUGCAUCACUAUGAGAUGGACCUGCGUUGUAUUAGCUAGUUGGUGAGGUAACGGCUCACCAAGGCUGCGAUACAUAGCCGACCUGAGAGGGUGAUCGGCCACACUGGGACUGAGACACGGCCCAGACUCCUACGGGAGGCAGCAGUAGGGAAUCUUCGGCAAUGGGGGCAACCCUGACCGAGCAACGCCGCGUGAGUGAAGAAGGUUUUCGGAUCGUAAAGCUCUGUUGUAAGCGAAGAACAGUGAUAGGAGUGGAAAAUCUAUCACAUGACGGUAGCUUACCAGAAAGGGACGGCUAACUACGUGCCAGCAGCCGCGGUAAUACGUAGGUCUCGAGCGUUGUCCGGAUUUAUUGGGCGUAAAGCGAGCGCAGGCGGUUAGAUAAGUCAGAAGUUAAAGGCUGUGGCUCAACCAUAGUACGCUUUUGAAACUGUUUAACUUGAGUGCAGAAGGGGAGAGUGGAAUUCCAUGUGUAGCGGUGAAAUGCGUAGAUAUAUGGAGGAACACCGGUGGCGAAAGCGGCUCUCUGGUCUGUCACUGACGCUGAGGCUCGAAAGCGUGGGUAGCGAACAGGAUUAGAUACCCUGGUAGUCCACGCCGUAAACGAUGAGUGCUAGGUGUUAGGCCCUUUCCGGGGCUUAGUGCCGCAGCUAACGCAUUAAGCACUCCGCCUGGGGAGUACGACCGCAAGGUUGAAACUCAAAGGAAUUGACGGGGGCCCGCACAAGCGGUGGAGCAUGUGGUUUAAUUCGAAGCAACGCGAAGAACCUUACCAGGUCUUGACAUCCCUCUGACCGGUCUAGAGAUAGACUUUCCCUUCGGGGCAGAGGAGACAGGUGGUGCAUGGUUGUCGUCAGCUCGUGUCGUGAGAUGUUGGGUUAAGUCCCGCAACGAGCGCAACCCUUAUUGUUAGUUGCCAUCAUUAAGUUGGGCACUCUAGCGAGACUGCCGGUAAUAAACCGGAGGAAGGUGGGGAUGACGUCAAAUCAUCAUGCCCCUUAUGACCUGGGCUACACACGUGCUACAAUGGUUGGUACAACGAGUCGCAAGCCGGUGACGGCAAGCUAAUCUCUUAAAGCUAAUCUCAGUUCGGAUUGUAGGCUGCAACUCGCCUACAUGAAGUCGGAAUCGCUAGUAAUCGCGGAUCAGCACGCCGCGGUGAAUACGUUCCCGGGCCU
Molecule: ribosomal RNA, 1377 nt
Filed under: uncultured bacterium
Lineage: Bacteria
Description: partial 16S ribosomal RNA
Rfam family: Bacterial small subunit ribosomal RNA
Source: RNAcentral